CAGAAGUAAGCAAAAGUGUUUAAUUAUUACGUAAAGGAGAUCUCAUCAAAAUUGAUCGUCAAAUUCGAUCAAGAACGAUAAGUAUUGUCUAUGAUGAAAUCUUUAUUAUAUCAUGUAAUGAUCCAUAUCUUCAUCAGAUAACGAGAACACGUAUUAUUUUAUCACGAUAUUAUCAGAAAUUGAAGUACUUUAUCAGUUCGUGACUGAUCAGGCAUAAUGCUGAUAGAGCAUCUUUCGGCGGAUAAAAUAAUCUAAUUAAAAUCACAAUUUCGUAACUCCGGUUCUUCUUUCUGAUAAGAAUUCUUUCCUUUGGGUUACGUGCAAAAUUAUAUCAAAGAGAAAUAGCUUCUAUAAGAAAUAAGUCAUUAUAGCAAUAGAAAUUUCUGUCAUAUCACUUUUUGUUUUAUGCAGUUGAAUCUUAGAAUAUUUUACACAUUUUAUUUUUACAAACUAGUUAACAACAUAAAUUGUAUUAUUAAAACAUAGUACAAUUUGCAAUAUAUUGUAAAAUUAUAGCCAUUUGUACAGUCUUAUUACAUUCAGUUCUAUUUUAUAGAAAUGCUAUAGAGAACGAGUGAAGCAGAAUAAUAACUUAUCACGCGGGAUUUAGAAUGAGUCACAUACAAACGAAAUAGGACUUUGGAAUAUCAAAUAAUCAGGAGGUUUAUAUCACCAUGCCACAACUUAUCAACACAAGAAUUAUCUUCAUGAAAAACAAGAUGGACAGUGAUGAAGAGAAUUAAUUUGUCCUACAUCGCUUUGAUCGAGAUUGAAUUAGCAAGACUCAAUGGCUGUAUAUUCGAAGCAGGAAAUAAUAGUUUGGGCGACAUCCAAGGGUCUUUUACUGACAAUCAAAACAAACUAUUGCACACGCAUGUAAUCAAGAGCGUUGAAUAAAUCUUUCAUAGAUCCAUGUAUUGUUUAUAAAUAUUGAUUGAACAAGUCGGAGCAAACUUGGCAAGCAUAACAUAUUUCUUUGUUAUAGAAGCUCGCAUUUAUGAUACAUCUACAAUUUGAUCACGUGUAACAUUGCUUCUGCUUUUAAUACAACAGCGAUAAAAGCACACAAGACACGAUACAAGAGACAGUAUUCUGUUACAGCGCUUUGAUCGAGAUUGAAUUAGCAAGACUCAAUGGCUGUAUAUUGUUCGAAGCAGGAAAUAGUUUGGGCGACAUCCAAAGGUCUUUCACUGACAAUCAAAACAAACUAUUGCACACGCAUGUAAUCAAGAGCGUUGAAUAAAUCUUUCAUAGAUCCAUGUAUUGUUUAUAAAUAUUGAUUGAACAAGUCGGAGCAAACUUGGCAAGCAUAACAUAUUUCUUUGUUACAGAAGCUCGCAUUUAUGAUACAUUUACAAUUUGAUCACGUGUAACAUUGCUUCUGCUUUUAAUACAACAGCGAUAAAAGCACACAAGACACGAUACAAGAGACAGUAUUCUGUUACAGCGCUUUGAUCGAGAUUGAAUUAGCAAGACUCAAUGGCUGUAUAUUGUUCGAAGCAGGAAAUAGUUUGGGCGACAUCCAAGGGUCUUUUACUGACAAUCAAAACAAACUAUUGCACACGCAUGUAAUCAAGAGCGUUGAAUAAAUCUUUCAUAGAUCCAUGUAUUGUUUAUAAAUAUUGAUUGAACAAGUCGGAGCAAACUUGGCAAGCAUAACAUAUUUCUUUGUUACAGAAGCUCGCAUUUAUGAUACAUUUACAAUUUGAUCACGUGUAACAUUGCUUCUGCUUUUAAUACAACAGCGAUAAAAGCACACAAGACACGAUACAAGAGACAGUAUUCUGUUACAGCGCUUUGAUCGAGAUUGAAUUAGCAAGACUCAAUGGCUGUAUAUUGUUCGAAGCAGGAAAUAGUUUGGGCGACAUCCAAGGGUCUUUUACUGACAAUCAAAACAAACUAUUGCACACGCAUGUAAUCAAGAGCGUUGAAUAAAUCUUUCAUAGAUCCAUGUAUUGUUUAUAAAUAUUGAUUGAACAAGUCGGAGCAAACUUGGCAAGCAUAACAUAUUUCUUUGUUACAGAAGCUCGCAUUUAUGAUACAUUUACAAUUUGAUCACGUGUAACAUUGCUUCUGCUUUUAAUACAACAGCGAUAAAAGCACACAAGACACGAUACAAGAGACAGUAUUCUGUUACAGCGCUUUGAUCGAGAUUGAAUUAGCAAGACUCAAUGGCUGUAUAUUGUUCGAAGCAGGAAAUAGUUUGGGCGACAUCCAAGGGUCUUUCACUGACCAAUCAAAACAAACUAUUGCACACGCAUGUAAUCAAGAGCGUUGAAUAAAUCUUUCAUAGAUCCA
RNAcentral lists this long non-coding RNA (2298 nucleotides) under Ooceraea biroi (clonal raider ant). Its description in RNAcentral is "uncharacterized LOC109611453". The record is from RNAcentral. Lineage: Eukaryota; Metazoa; Arthropoda; Insecta; Hymenoptera; Formicidae.